RNAcentral lists this unclassified non-coding RNA (330 nucleotides) under soil metagenome. RNAcentral's name for it is "partial contains 5.8S ribosomal RNA, internal transcribed spacer 2, and large subunit ribosomal RNA". The stretch from base 1 to 120 matches the Rfam family "5.8S ribosomal RNA", at positions 35 to 154 of the family's 154-position model. The record is from RNAcentral.
GAUGAAGAACGCAGCGAAAUGCGAUAAGUAGUGUGAAUUGCAGAAUUCAGUGAAUCAUCGAAUCUUUGAACGCACAUUGCGCCCUUUGGUAUUCCUUAGGGCAUGCCUGUUCGAGCGUCAUUUAAACCUUCAAGCUCAGCUUGGUGAUGGGCGACUGUCCUCCCCUCGCGGGGGGACUCGCCUCAAAAACAUUGGCGGCCGGUACAUUGGCUUCGAGCGCAGCAGAAACGCGGUCUCGAGCCCGGUGGAUCGGCUCCCAUAAGCCUAUUCUUUUAUUUUGACCUCGGAUCAGGUAGGGAUACCCGCUGAACUUAAGCAUAUCAAUAAGGA